AGAUCAAUUCACUCCCGUGAUAGAAAUCCUCAAGCAAAGCUAGCCCAGACUAAUUCCCAUUAACGGAAUCUAACUAUGCAGGCAAUAAGAACAGACUGAUAAAGUCAAUAAACGCUCUAAACGGCCAAUCCCUUGGGAUAGAGACGAAUAUCUCAGGAACUAGUGGAUCAAGCAUUCCAUCGAACACCUUCUGGUUGCGGGAAUGCUUGGGAUCGAAUUCCAGUUGAUCAGAAAGAAAUAAGCAGUAAACACAACUAGUCCUGAAGGGAUUCAAUCAAUUCUAAAACUUAACCAUUCUAUAGACUACGGAUUCCACAACUACUCUAUCCCAUCCUUAAGAAUUCUAAGUCACUACUCAGACAAUAUGCUCAAAGACAUAAACGCAGAUAAAUGAUAAUAUUGGAUAAGUAAAGAGAUAAAGAGUAGAGAAACAAGAUAACAAAUGAAAUCAAAUGCGGAAUCUGAAUAACUUGGAAAAAUCUCGAAUUACAGGUUGUAGAAGCAAAAGCGGCGCAGCCAGAGUAAAACAGAAAAUAAAACUGAAGCAAAAACCCAAUGUCGACUAGAUGUCUCAGGACAGAACCCAAAGACAUCUAUUUAUGCAAAACGAAAUAAAAUGAUAGGAGACAGGCCAAUAACCUCAUCGCCCGACCCAUAGAGUGAUAAUGGGCCGAGAUGGGCUUCGUGAUCCGAUGGAGGUCCAGGCCGCUUCCAAACACUUCGUCUUCUCCUCUUCUCUUCCUUGUGCUCCGCUUGUCUGGUUGAGUGCGGAUUUGAGUAGACUAAGAAGAUGUGAUCGAGUGCCCGGUCGAGUAGUGGUGUUGGUGGUGAGUGAUGAUACUCGACCCACUGGUCGAGUAACGUGGUAGAGUGAACGGCCGAGUGUGGUCAGGUGGUUUGGCGAAGUGAUACUCGACCAGGGGGUCGAGUGGCGUCAUCGAGUGGCCUGAGCUGAGGUUACUCGAUCUGGGGGUCCAGUAGAUGGGAAGAAUGGCUCCAAAGUCACUCGACCAGGGGGUCGAGUAUGGCGCUGGAUGCACACGACAUGGUGGUCGAGUAUAUCUUCUGGUUCUGGCUCGUUUCUUCUAAUUUGCUCGCAAACAGCUCCAAAUCACCUGAAAACAACUCAGAAAUGCAAUAUGUAUGCAAAGCUAUCCUAAUCAUGCAAAGUAUGCAAGAAUGAUGAGAAAUGAUAUAAAACAGUGAUGAAUGAUACAAAACUU
RNAcentral lists this small RNA (1223 nucleotides) under Arabidopsis thaliana (thale cress). RNAcentral's name for it is "ATSL089150". The record is from RNAcentral. Lineage: Eukaryota; Viridiplantae; Streptophyta; Magnoliopsida; Brassicales; Brassicaceae.